AACGAACGCUGGCGGCAUGCCUAACACAUGCAAGUCGAACGAGACCUUCGGGUCUAGUGGCGCACGGGUGCGUAACGCGUGGGAACCUGCCCUUAGGUUCGGAAUAACUCCCCGAAAGGGGGGCUAAUACCGGAUAAUGUCUGCGGACCAAAGAUUUAUCGCCUUUGGAUGGGCCCGCGUUGGUUUAGCUAGUUGGUAGGGUAAAAGCCUACCAAGGCGACGAUCCAUAGCUGGUCUGAGAGGAUGAUCAGCCACACUGGGACUGAGACACGGCCCAGACUCCUACGGGAGGCAGCAGUGGGUAAUAUUGGAAAAUGGGCGAAAGCAUGAUCCAGCAAUGCCGGGUGAGUGAUGAAGGCCUUAGGGUUGUAAAGCUCUUUUACCCGGGAUGAUAAUGACAGUACCGGGAGAAUAAGCACCGGCUAACUCCGUG
RNAcentral lists this ribosomal RNA (433 nucleotides) under uncultured bacterium. RNAcentral describes it as "partial 16S ribosomal RNA". It matches the Rfam family "Bacterial small subunit ribosomal RNA", at positions 29 to 507 of the family's 1533-position model. The record is from RNAcentral.